GGGCCUCGGCCAGGCCUGAGAUGCCGGGAGGGUUUGACCCUGGGGCUGCAUGGACAGCUUAGCGCUCGGCCGCUGGCGACAGCGGAGGGCGGAGGAUCUGCAGGUUCCGGGGGACGUGGUGAGCCCCCGGGGCCUGGGCGUUAGGGACGGGAGGGCGGAUGGCCCCUGGGCGGGUUCCCACCGCGCCUCGUUUUUGCCGGCGCGGCCCUGCCUGUGAGGAGGCCUGGCCCAAGACACUCGCACGCUCGCGUACGUCCCUGGGAGGGCGUGGCCAGUGAUGGGCGUGGCCUGUUAGGGCGGGGUUGUGACGCCGCUCUCCCGGUUUCGCGCCUGCGCGGUCGGGCGCGGAGCUCGGGCACCUUCCUGACCCACACGCUCACUGGGGCUCCAGACCCAGGCUCCCUAAAACAUGGGCCGAGACUCAUUGCAGGACCUCGGGUGCUUGGUAUCCGUGUCAUGUCUUCUCCUGCCGUCUACACCUGACUGUUCCUGAGUCUCGUUCACUGAGCGCCUGCCACGUGCCAGGCCCAGGGCUGGGUGUUGGGGGACGAGUACGUGGGGAGCGAACACGCGCAGAAAAUUACCCGGCAUUGAGCGUGUUAGUGCUUCUUGGGCUGAGUCCAUUAACUGAUGAGCAGAGGGUAAGAUGAGAUGGUAAUGGGGAGACUUGCACAAGAUCCCAGGGUGCGUGGGUAAGUCAGGUAUGUGUGAGACUUGAAGGAUGACCGGGGGUAGGCAGGAUGGGAGGUGACAAAAAACAGUGUUGGAGGAAGGAGCUUAGCGUCUUAGGGGCACUGAAAGAAGUACUGCAGGAUUGGAGCUGGAAGACAGAGCUGCUUGGCAUUCCUGUAUUUUAUCUUCCACCUCUGCUUGCAAAUUGGCCAGUUCUUACUUAACCUCGUUUAUUUCAAAGUUCCUCGCUAGGGGCAGCAGUGAGCAGCCAACAUACCGCAUAUUUGCUUUUUUUUUUCUUCUAGAGCUACACAGGCUUGGUAAGUGCAGGAUCCGUCUUCCCAGUUAAUACAGGCAGCAUUUUUUUAGAUGUCUUUACUGCGUAGCGGGAAUGACUAGCUUUCUACCCUGCACCAUCUCUUUCCUCACUACUCACUGCCUGGCCGUGAAGCCAGUACCACUUAGGUUUCUAUCACAGCCGCACCCCUCCUCCAGGUACCAAUUGUUAUAUUACUAGGGUGCAGGUUACCCCAGUAAUAUAGUAAUAAUAUGGUAUAGUAAUGUAGUAUAGUAAUAGUAUAGUACAGUAAUAUAGCAGGUUAGGGUGCUUUUGUAACCAAGAGCCUUCAAAGCACGCUGGCCCUAACAAGAUGGAAGUUUGAUUCUCCUGCACAGAACAGCAUGGACGUGAGCAGUCCAGUGGGGUGGAGCCCAGGGUCACUAAAUAUAGGCGUAGGGCUGGUGGUACCCAGAUCAGGGGAUAUGCGGGGACCUAAGUUCCUUCCCCUCACACCAUCCCCUGGGUGUCACCCUCCUCUGCAUAGCCAAGGGUGGCUCACUGCUACUGUGCUACCAGAUGGCAGAAAAACAAACAGAAAAGUGACAUGAUUAUGCUGAUGUGUUGAGACCUUACUUCACUGCCCUGGAAAAUGAAAGGUGUGAUCAGGGUGCAGGCAGGGAGGCAAGGCUUGUGGCUACAGUAGUGUGUCAGAGGAGAAGUGGCAGAGGUUUGCACAAGAGAGGGCAGUGGGGUGGUGACACUAGAGAGACGUGACUGUGUAGAGGGAGAGCAGACAGUCUCACUGAUGGAGUGGCAGUGGCAGGGUAAUGUGAAGAGUGGAGUCCAGGGUGUUGUAGGGGUUGACUUGAGCCCUGCGAGGGCAGUACUGCUGCUCCUUGAGAGAAGAGUGGUGUGGAGGCAAUGAAGAGCUCCUGUUAGGCCAUGCUGUGUUUUCUGCGACUUUGAGACGUUUAGUGGAGACGUGGCAAAUACUGCUAGUGAUUGAAUGGUUAUCAUGUGGAUUAUCUGAAUUUCUUUAAUCAACUAAAAUUUAUUUAAGCAUAAAGUUACUUUCACAUUUGUCUACACCUACAGUAAAUACAGUUGUUGGCAUAAAGACACAGCCUUUAGAAUUUAAAGCCUCCCCACCUGCAAGAUUACAUACGUAAAACUCCCACUGUUGUUUCUAUAAUAGUGGAUUAAUCAAAUUAAAAUAGUUAUACUAUCGAAUAAAAUACAAUGGAAAUAAUUUACUUAUAAGAUUCAUAUUUAAAUCAUCCUUAUUUACAAAAUACUAUCCUAAGAAUUAUAAUUCCAUUAAGUUUCAAUUUGAGCAAAAGUGUAAUCACUUAAGUAACAGCAGUUACUUGAAAUGAGAUCAGUCAGAAUUACUUUUGAAGAGAGCAAAAAUAUUGCCAGGUAUCUUGCUGCGGUUUUGGAUGUUCCGUAGCAGGCUCAUUUGAAGGCGGAAUCAGCCCUGAAGGGAACUCACUUCUACCUUCAGAAUGUGGGGGUCGGGGGAAAAAUCCAGGUCUUGGGGGAGGGUAAGGAGGAAAACCCCUCGGUGGAUAGACAUUUCUCAUUGCAAACGGAGCAUGUGGUGGACCUGGGAAAUCCCCUGGUGGAAAAUAAUCUCGAGAAGCUCCAAACCUGGUUCCUGGAGGAGGUGGGGGGAAAGGAGGUGCUCUUCUCAUGAACGGGCCCCUUGUAUCCACUGGAAACAGUGGACCUCUGAUUAGGGCAAGAGGUGGAGGAACAAAGCGAGGGCCAGUUGCUGCAUUUUCAGCAGGGAGAGAUGAAUCAGGGAUAUUUAAAUUACCAAGAUCAUCUUUGGUGUCAUUUCUACUGGAUUCCAUUUCUGAAGGCAUUGACCCAUCCAUUUUAUCCAAAGGAGGCAUAUUAAAACUUCUGAGUUCUGCUGGUCCAGACAGUCCACCAGAGUUAGAAUAAAAUCUGUCUUGCCUUUGUGGAGGAAGAGCUGAAUCAAGAUAUGAUUGCGCUGGUGGAGGAAACAUCAUCCUACGGUCCUGUUCCCUCGGAAGUGACAGGGACCCAGUGUCAGAAGGAGACCUGUGAGGAUCGGUUAACCUUUCACAGCUUGAUUCUCCUCUUUCCUUGGUAAUCUGAUGGUCCAGAGGAUUCCCUGGGCCUCUUGAGCCUCUUCCUUCCCCCCCUGGAGGCAAAGGUGAGAGUCUGAGUGGACCCUCCAACAGAGUUGCGGGAGAGAGAAAAGCUCUCGUUUCAGAUGAAGGCCGACCCAAUGAUGAGGGACCAUAUGGGGAAUGCUCUCUGCCAAAUGCUGUAUUUGGAACAUCAAGUACAUAAGGAUCUUUUUUUAGAAGUUUUAUUUUAUACUCUGUUUCAGCUAAUUUUUGUCUGUUGUGAGCAUUUUCUUUCCUUAAAUCAUUGAGGUUUCUUUCAGCAGCCCAAGCUGCCAACCAGUUAUGAUGUGCCUUUUUCUCAUGGGAAAUAAUCUGCCGUUGAUAAUAAUGAAUAGUUCUCUCCAAUUCUUCUUCAAGAUCUUUGGCUCGCUGUCUGUAGGUCUCCAGCUCUUUAGUGGCAUGGCUGAUCUUUUUGUCUACCUUAGAAAGUUUCUCUUCUUUCUCUAACCGGCUAUUUUCCUCUACUGUUAAUUUCCUGUAGAGUUUCAUUUCAUUUUCUUGAUAUAAUUCAGUCAUUACUUUAAGUUUCUGUUGAAGCUUCUGAUUCUCACUUUCAAAAUGUGUGUUUUCUGACUGCAAAGAUGCUUGUUCAGUCCGAAGAUUUUUAAUAUGCUCUGUAAGCUCUUCCUUUGUUUUAUCAAUUUCAGGUAACUGGAUAUAAAUUUGGUUUCUUUCUCCUUCUAAGGUUUUUAAAGAAGCAUUUAACUUAGUAGCAUGAAUCAGUUUCUUCAGAGCUCCUUUUAGAGGAUCAUCUAAGUAAGCACCAUCUUCUGAUUCACUGUUCACUUCUAAGUUAUCAUCAUCCGUUACGUCUUCUCUAAGCCUAGCAGCCCAAUCUUUCAUCUUUAGCAAAUGUUCAGUCAGAGUCUUGAUGUGAUUUUCUUUAUCAUUUAGAACUUGUUCUGCAUGUACUUUGGAGUCUUCAAAUGUUAUUUUCUGUUUAUUAAGUUCAUUCACUUGUUCGUUCCAUACUUCAGCUUCUUGCAAAAGCUGUUUCUGGCUUUCCUGAAGGUGAGAGUUUUCAUUCAAAGCAUCUUUUAUUGCUAUCUUCAGUUGUUUCUCAGUCAUUUUAAAUCUCUUGAAGAUCAUUUUGGCUUCAGCUACUUGUGAUUUGAGGGAUUCUGACUCAUCUGCUAGAGGCUGUAUCGUUUUUGAAAUAUCCGCCAUCAAUUCAUUUUGUUGCGAAUGUUUAGAUUUCUCUUCUUUUAACUCUUUUUCUAGACAGAGAAUUUCAUGCUCAAGUUCAGAAUUGGACCUGUUCAACUUUUCACAGGUUGCCUCCAAACUUCGUGCUUCUGCUGCCGCCUUCUCAAAGCUGGCAUCCUCUAACGAUGACGCUACUUCAUAGUCUUCAUACUCUUUUUGAACAAGGCUAAAUUUUUCAAGUAGUUUACAUUUUUCUUCAAUUAGUCCAGAAAGCAUUAUAGCAAGCUUUUUCUCUCUUCCCACAUAAAGCCGACUCCUAACCGAUCUAAAACUUCUCCACAGAAAAAGGAGAACAGCAAAAAAUGCAGCAACAGCUGCACAUAUCACCAUUUCCCAUGGAAAACCAUGAGGAUUCGAAUCCAGUCUCAUACUUUCAGGCAGCGCUGCCACAACCCUGCGUGGCUCCCCCAGGACCAGCCCCAAGUACCGCUGAGGGGUAGCCCCUGGCUCCAACAUAGCGCCAAGGCUGCUCUGGCGGUCGCCGCAGUAACCCCGGCCACAACAAGCAGCGGAGAACUCGCAGCCUUGCGUCCGGAACCCGAAUCCGCACCCGGCAACCGGAGCAGACCAUUGUGGAGCCGGCUGCGGGGGGGAGCUGGGGGAUGCGGGCGCUCACAGGCCCACUCUGCCCACCCAGCCCCCUUGUUACACUACAUCCUGAGGUAGCACAUGUUGGACCCGCGCAAGCCCCACCCCUUGGUUUGGUUUUGGCCAGGCAGCCGUGGGGAGGUGGGGAGUUUUGUUUUGUUUUGUUUUGUUUGGGGGGGGAGGGGAACGGAGUCUCACUCUUGUCGCCCAGGCCGGAGUGCAGUGGCAUAAUCUUGGCUCACUGCAACCUCUGCCUCCUGGGUUGAAGCGAUUCUCUUGCCUUAGCCUCCGGAGUAGCUAGAAUUACAGGUGCCCGCCACCAUGCCCAGCUAAUUUUGUAUUUUUAGUAGAGAUGAGGUUUCACCAUGUUGGCCAGACUGGUCUCGAACUCCUGACCUCAGGUGAUCCGCCUGCCUCAGCCUCCCAAAGUGCUGGGAUUACAGGCGUGAGACACCGUGCCCAUCCUGGAUUAUCUGAAUUUAUAGCACAACACUGCUAAAUUAUUCCCAUGAUACAAAGGAGGCAGCUGAAACGCAGAGGGGGUAAUUAACUGGCCUAAGGAUACACAGCUAGUAAAUGGUAGAACUAGGUCUUAAAUCCAAGCCAUCUGGCUCCAGAGCCUGCCAUCUUAACCACAGGGCUGCACAGCUUCCCAUGUGGCAUUUGUGGAACUAAAAUACAAAGCAGGCCGGGCGCAGUGGCUCAUGCUUGUUAUCCCAGCACUGUGGGAGGCCAAGGCAGGCUGAUCACUUGAGGUCAGGAGUUCCAGAUCAGCCCGGCUAACAUGGUGAAACCCUGUCUCUACUAAAAAUACAAACAUUAGCUGGGCUUGGUGGCACACACCUGUGAUCCAGCUACUUGGGAGGCUGAGACAGAAGAAUUGCUUCAACUCGUGAGGCAGAGGUCGCAGUGAGCCGAGAUCACACCACUGCAUUCCAGCCUGGAUGAAAGAGUGAGACUCUGUCUCAAAUAAAAAAGUAAAAAUAAAAUAUACCCACAAAGCUUCACAAUGAAGUCCUAAAUUGGCUAUCAUAAAAUGAUGAAAAGUGUGAUGCUGUGGGCUGUCAGGGAAGGGGAGCCAGAGGUCAUUAUUGAUCAGAGCGAACAGGGAAGGUUUAAUGGAAGACACCCUGAAUGAUCUAUCAGGUUGGAAUUGCUGAAAUGGAGUGCCAGGCUUCAGGUUGCAAUACUUCUUGACUGUUACCAAAGAAUAAUGAGUUGGGUAUCUUAUUGGCAUGGUGUAUAUUGCCUCUUAAUUUGAUAAAGUUUUGUUUAUGUUGUAUUGUGUCCUAGUCUUUGAUUUAAUAAUCCAGAUUGAGUUCAAUAAAGUAUCCAAGUUCUACCAAGUUUUCUGUCCUCUCUCUGCCUCUCUGUGUAUUUCUCUCUCACAGGCGUCUCCAGAAUUUGGUUACUGAGGAACGGUAACUAGUUUCUUACUUCUGUUCCCAGCCUAGAGGCUCUGUACUCUGCACAUAACCACCAGCAAAGUUUUGGAAAACACAGCAGCCAGGACCCAUCUCUGUAGUGACUUUGCAGACAUGUUUUGAGCGCCUGCUGUGUCUCAAGCCCUGUCCUAGGCACUGGAGAUGAGAUGAAGAAACGAUGAGUAGAGGCCUUGCUUACGUUUAUCCUGCAACUCAUGAUGAGGCUUACUCUGCAACUCCAGUGCUCGGCUUUUUACACAACAGAGUCUCUGUUGCCCAGGCUGGAGUACAGUCGCACGAUCUUGGCUCACUGCAACCUCUGCCUCUCAGGUUCGAGUGAUUCUUCUGCCUCAGCCUCCCAAGUUGCUGGGAUUACAGGUAUGCUGGAGUUUGCUGGAGGUCCACUCCAGACCCUGUUUGUCUGGGUAUCACCAGCAGAGGCUGCAGAACACCAAAGAUUGCUGCCUGUUCCUUCUUCUGGAAGCUUCGUCCCAGAGGGGCACCUGCCAGAUGCCAGCUGGAGCUCUCCUCUAUGAGAAACGGGUAUGCAGGAGAUUAGAAGCCAGUGGGCAUGAGCGUGGCUGCCACCAGGUGAAUGCCUGUGCCCUGGCGUCCUGGGGCCCAGAGGACCGGGAGCUUCCAUCAAGAGGCUGCCUCCCAGCACCAAGGCCAGAGAGUGGCCAGGGGAGGCUAAGUACAGGGAUUUCUCAGAAUGGUGGAAGGAGCUCAGCCCAGCCUUGCCCAAGAUGUAUUGCAGGGGAAUCUGGACAUUUUAGCCAUACCAAGAAUCAUUAGAAGAUGCAAGCUGGAAAAAAGAAGGUCCCAGUUUUGGUUUUGAACCCUUCAUGUUGCAGCAAAUGUGAAUCUCCUACAGAUGGGUUUGGGGACUUACCUGUUCAAAUAGCAGCCCGGUGUCCUCUGUGGGUGGGGGGAGGUUUGUCUGUCCUUUCAUUCUAGUAAAUCCACCAUCCUCUGCACGAGAGCCAGGAGAAUCCACAUCACUUCAAAAGAGCCCCCAAAUCCUUACUACGUACUACAGCCUCCUUUCGAAUGUUCCUGGUUGAGAGGGAGAUCAAUUGCAUUAUUUACAAGUCAAAAAAUUUUGUAUCAAACUUCCUAUGAGCUUGGGCACUCAUGGCCUAUGGAGGCCCACCCAGACGCAGCCCCGCCAUCAUGCUUUUUCGUUGUUUUGUGGAUGUACCCAGGGCUAUUUACACACUCUUUCAUUAAAAGGCUUAUUUUUAUAUUUAAAAUGUUCUAAUCUUGGAGUGAAUUUUACUAAAUGCUAGUGUCCAAUCUGUUCCCCAACUGAAGUUAUCAGAGACAGAAUCCCUUUUAUAUUCAAGUGGAAAUUACUCAUUUUCUCUUGGGUUUUCAAUGUAUCGUCUGACUGUGAGGCUGGCAUUAUUUUCUCUGGGUUUGAAAGCUUCCUGAGAUGUCCUGUUUGUAAGCUCCUGUCCGCAUCACGUUAUCUGCAGGGAAUGUGCUCCCUCCAGGGAGUGUCCUCGGCACUGAUGUGGGAAGAGCCCCCUCUAUAAGUCAUCAUGGCAUUCGGUCAUGGGAGAGUUCCAUACGGGAAAGAUGGAGCAGAGGAAGACAAGGUGUUGAAACCAGUACAGCACCACCUGGGAUAUGGAUGAUCCAGAAUUACAGGACACGUCUUCAUUAAGCCUGGGUAAGAUCCCAGAGCUAUGACUCGAUCAAAAAAUGCCAGUUCGUGCCAAACAACCAAAGCCGGGAAAGAGGGAGAAGGUAUUGGCGUUUGUAGCCUUACGAAAGAUCUUUAUGAAGAGCUUUAGUUUGUUCUUCUCUUUUCCAAAAUGAGAUACACGUCUAAUUUUUACGGGAAAAAAAGAAAACUCUUAGAUGGACAGCAUGUUCUUUUUUGUGUGUAAACUCUUCCUUCUCACCCUCGUUCAUGGAGAGAGCAGGUGUCCACCCGGUGUCAGGUGGGUGUUUUGUAGCUGACGUGGCACGCGUCCCUCCAGCUGUUCAUACGAAGCUGGCUUUUGUAGAGAACAGUCCCCGGGCAUCCUCCUGCCCCAAGGAAAAUGCCCCCGCUUCAGAGUCAGACAGACGUGAGUUCCCAUCUCAUCUCCACCGACCAUCUCCACCUGACCUUGAUGAGUCCUUAGACUUCUUGGAGCCUCUGGUUCCCAUCUGUGUGGUGGGGAGGUUGCCCUUGGGGUUUGCCCUUAGCCCACAGUGUGACUCCUCAGUGUCAGUGCCCUCCCUCCUGGUACACAGCCCCUCCACCCCAAAGCAGGCCUUCGGUUCUGGAAAAGCAAAGCUCACAAAACCUGAUGACCCAGGUGACAAGGACGAAAGGGAUGAGGUGUAACUGGCCAGAAUGUGGGUGUAUUAGGGUUCUCUAGAGGGACAGAAUAGGAUAAGUGUAUAUGUGAAGGGGAGUUUAUUAAGGAGUAUUGACUUGCAUGAUCACAAGGUGAGGUCCCACAAUAGGCCGUCUGCAAGCUGAGGAGCAAGGAAGGCAGCCUGAGUCCCAAAACCUCAAAAGUAGAGAAGUCGAUAGUGCAUCCUUCAGUCUGUGGCUGAAGGCCCAACAGCCCUUGCAAACCACUGGUGUAAGUCCAAGAGUCCAAAAGCUGAAGAACUUGGAGUUCGAUGUUCAAGGGCAGGAAGCAUCCAGCACGGGAGAAAGAGGAAGCCUGGAAGACUCAGCCAGUCUAGUCUUUCCACAUUCUCCUGCUUGCAUUAUUCUGGCCAAGCUGGCAGCUGAUUAGAUGGUACCCACCCAGAUUGAGGGUGAGUCCGCCUCUCCCAGUCCACUGACUCAACUGUGAAUCUCCUUUGGCAACACCCUCACAGACACACCCAGGAUCAAUACUUGGCAUCCUUCAAUCAAGUUGACACUUGAUAUUAACCACCACAGUGGAGAACCAGCAGCUUUAUCCAGGUGCUGGAUUUUCCAGACUGUGAAGGGAAUGGAGGAGCUUGUGACUGGGUACCUAAAAAGGGGGAUGGCAACAUUUUCUUGGUGUUUUCAGCCAUUUUAGUACAGGCCAUGAAAUAGAAGGCUCAGAAAUUCCAGAUUUUCCUAGGUGUGGUCCACACCUCAGUCCCAUCCUACUCUGGCCUCGUGUGAACAGAGGUCCUGCCCGUGGCCUUGUUGUCCCCUGGCAGCCGCCCUCCACCCACCCCCUGACUUGCUGUCACAGCUGCCCUGGCAUCCAUCCUGGCCUUCAGCCCCACCUCCCUGGCUCCAGAGUCAUCCCUGGCCACAGGACGGUCUCUGCUCUCCAGCCCAACCCGCCUCCUGCUGGGAUUACCUGGAGGAGCUCACCCCGUGCAGAACUGUUUCUCCCUGGCAAAUUAAUUUGUCAGCACCACAGGUACUAAAACAGAUUAGCUAAUAGGCAAAACCUGCAUAGAUUUCACUAAACUGGGUCUUGAUGCACCCAUGACGAGCGUGAAAUGGGAUUAUCCCUUUAAAGUGCUUCAUCUUUGUAUUCUUGUCAAAAGAGGAGGAAAAAGACAUUUUCUUACACCCUGAGGAAACAGACUGGGCAUUGAUGUGUCUGUAUGUCCAUUAGAUAAAUUUUCAAUUUGUUCUUUAAUUAUAAUCUGUUAUUGCUUUUGGGGGGAUAUAGGGGCUAAAAAUGUCAAAACGUACCUUUAAUAAUUUCACAAAGUAAGUUUGUAAUGGUUUCUAAACCAACAACUUACGAAACUCAUUUUA
RNAcentral lists this long non-coding RNA (10032 nucleotides) under Homo sapiens (human). RNAcentral's name for it is "non-protein coding lnc-C10orf143-46:2". The record is from RNAcentral. Lineage: Eukaryota; Metazoa; Chordata; Mammalia; Primates; Hominidae.